This 843-nucleotide ribosomal RNA is filed under the name marine metagenome. Its description in RNAcentral is "bacterial SSU rRNA". It matches the Rfam family "Bacterial small subunit ribosomal RNA", at positions 141 to 1018 of the family's 1533-position model. The record is from RNAcentral.
GAAUAACACGAGGAAACUUGUGCUAAUACCGGAUAAGUCUUUACGGAGAAAGCUUUAUGCACCAUUGGAUGAGCCUGCACUUGAUUAGUUUGUUGGUGGGGUAAUGGCCUACCAAGACUGUGAUCAAUAGCUGAUUUGAGAGGAUGAUCAGCCACAUUGGGACUGAGACACGGCCCAAACUCCUACGGGAGGCAGCAGUGGGGAAUCUUGCACAAUGGAGGAAACUCUGAUGCAGCGAUGCCGCGUGAGUGAAGAAGGCCUUUGGGUUGUAAAGCUCUUUCGUCGGGGAAGAAAAUGACUGUACCCGAAUAAGAAGGUCCGGCUAACUUCGUGCCAGCAGCCGCGGUAAUACGAAGGGACCUAGCGUAGUUCGGAAUUACUGGGCUUAAAGAGUUCGUAGGUGGUUGAAAAAGUUGGUGGUGAAAUCCCAGAGCUUAACUCUGGAACUGCCAUCAAAACUUUUCAGCUAGAGUAUGAUAGAGGAAAGCAGAAUUUCUAGUGUAGAGGUGAAAUUCGUAGAUAUUAGAAAGAAUACCAAUUGCGAAGGCAGCUUUCUGGAUCAUUACUGACACUGAGGAACGAAAGCAUGGGUAGCGAAGAGGAUUAGAUACCCUCGUAGUCCAUGCCGUAAACGAUGUGUGUUAGACGUUGGAAAUUUAUUUUCAGUGUCGCAGCGAAAGCGAUAAACACACCGCCUGGGGAGUACGACCGCAAGGUUAAAACUCAAAUGAAUUGACGGGGACCCGCACAAGUAGUGGAGCAUGUGGUUUAAUUCGAAGAUACGCGCAGAACCUUACCAACACUUGACAUGUUCGUCGCGACUCUAAGAGAUUAGAGUUUCGG